Molecule: long non-coding RNA, 889 nt
Filed under: Phasianus colchicus (ring-necked pheasant)
Lineage: Eukaryota; Metazoa; Chordata; Aves; Galliformes; Phasianidae
Description: lncRNA (ENSPCLG00000004938.1)
Source: RNAcentral
AAAAAACAAAGUAAAAAUUUUCCUGAAGCCCAAUUGCAAGAUGCCCUGUGUACCCAUGAACUGAAAAUUUGUAAUAUAGCUUUCCUUGUUUCUAGGCUGUAGUAUGCACAGAACAUAGGAUGGUUCACUGUGAUGUUCAUACCAUUCAGAAUUAGUAAUCUAAUUUGCCCAGGACUUGAUCCCAGGCAGCUGAAAAUAGUGCUGCCCUAUUUUUUUCAAGAGGUUUAAGCACCUAAUUCUUAUGAAUUUCAGUGAGAUCCAUAUGCAUGGGUCCUCAGAUCAUAUUUACUUCCACUUGUAAAAAUGUGAGGUUGUAUAAUAGAAGCUCUCUAAGCCCUGUGUUAGCAGACAUUCUGGGUACCCACUGCAGCUCACUGAGUUAAUUAAUGCGUUUAAGUGACCUACUGUAAUGUCUUCAUCUGUCAGAACCUGGAGACAGGGUAGCUAAGAGACCAUUUUGGAGUAUUCUGAGAUCACAGCAAUCUGAUGUUUAAGGAGGUUAAUGUAAUACUCACAGGGGCCUGAUGGAAGAGUUCACAAAACAGAUGAACCCACCUGAAUUCUGAGAGUUUGAGCAGGCGGAUUCUUAACCCGUAUUCAGAUGGCUGAUAACAUAACGAUGUCAUGGCCAAUGAGAAAAAUCAACUUGGAGGACAAAACUCACCUCCUCACUAACUCCAGUAGACGUGCCUCCUACUUGGAUCUUAGCUGCCCAAUAAGAACUCAAGAAAGCCAUGAGUCAGUGGGAACAAAUUCUGGUUUAAAGUGGAACAAGCCAAACUCUGUUACCCUCCUCAGCAACCCUGGGCUGAGUAGAAUCUCCACCUCACCUGCAGCCAGCCCAUGUCUUCAUGACUUGCCCAGCCUGCUGAGCCCAAUGCAGAAAUAA